AGACAACAGAUGUCCAUGCACCAUCAGUCAAGUAUAGAAGUUUAUGUAGAAAGCAGGCAGUGUUUUCCUCAGUUGCUCAUUUGCCACUGACUGAAGUGCUGUAACUACACUUAACAGCAGACAAAGUCCAAUUACAAUGGCAUAAAAAGUCCUUAUUUGUCAGAUGAUCUGCAGAAUCUGCCAGUCCAACUUGAGACUCCUGGAAGAGCAAGGUAGUUUAAUGGUGGGUCAAUGAGAAAGAAACAGAACAACAGCAUCUCAGAAUUCCCAGUUGUUUUAUAUAUUAGCAGGUAACGUUGAGAUUCUGAAUCAAAUGUAACUGUCUAUUGUUUUGCUUUCCUUUGGAAAAAACCCACCAAAACAAGUAAAACUCCAAACCACCAGAGACCCCUUUAAAACACAGGAUUCUGCACUUAGCAAGUAAUCAAUGUGGUUAAUGAGAAAUUGGGGUAGGGAAAAAAUAGAUCCCAUUAGUGAGGGAAACAUCAUAGGGGAGAAAACACCUAACACUGAAACAUCAACUUCUUUUAUCCCGAAGGUAUAUUUCUAUUUCAGGGCCAAAACAGUGAACAAGAAAGUGAGCAAAAGCAAUCAUCUCUGCUUUGAAUGAGAUAGUUGGGAGAACAUGGAAUUCUCUGUUGAAGGAAGUGGGUGGGAGAUUCAUUUUACCUAUACUUGCCACAUAGAAACGGUGAGAUUCAGGAUGACCUCUGCAGUCAGAGGAGAGGGAGGCAUCUCCUGAGUGUGACACAGCUCUCCCAAACCAGAUGUCUGGUAGGUGAGAUGUACUUACCUCUAGGGGUGCCUAACUCUCUCCGUUGUCUAAGUCAAUGAAAUAAAAUGAGUAAAAAAAUCAAUGCUGAACUGCAGUUAGCAAGGGAAGCAAAAUUAAGAGUGUUCAACUUAAUGCUCUAUUUCUGCAUUAGGGUGGGAUGAAUCACACCCUGGAGGCUCAGAUGUGCUUCUGAACUAACUAAAGACAGAGCCGAAAGCAAGUUGAUGUGCUGCUGAACUAACUUUUGAAGGACUGGAAGGAGAUCAGAUGAAUUUUUUUAACAGUCCUGAUCAAAUUUCUCAGUUCACCCUGGAUACAUCGAAUUCCAGCUGCACCUGCGUGUGUGAAUUCACCAGCUCCAGGGAAAUUGUUAGGAAGAUACUCUGAGGAAAAGCUUAUGUAAGUAGUGAGCAGAGCAAAUACCAGUAGAUGGCAGUCCAGAAUAUGCAGCAUAGAUUCUGGACCUUGUAAUACCCAGCAAAAAAUAUCCCUCAGUUCACUGCAUCUGAGAUCUUGAACACAACUCUGCAGAGUGCUUCUUAGAAAACAGACUGUAGAGGCUACUCUGUCCCACCUUUGGCAAAUGGGAAAGUCUUUUGUCUUUUAGUUUGAACUGCUUGCACAGAC
Long non-coding RNA from Passer domesticus (house sparrow), 1402 nucleotides. RefSeq lists it as uncharacterized. The transcript has 3 exons. NCBI's taxonomy places the organism in Eukaryota, Metazoa, Chordata, Aves, Passeriformes, Passeridae. The record is from RefSeq and is a predicted model, not a curated record.